CCUACGGGAGGCAGCAGUGAGGAAUAUUGGUCAAUGGACGAGAGUCUGAACCAGCCAAGUAGCGUGAAGGAUGACUGCCCUAUGGGUUGUAAACUUCUUUUAUAUGGGAAUAAAACGUUCCACGUGUGGGAUUUUGUAUGUACCAUAUGAAUAAGGAUCGGCUAACUCCGUGCCAGCAGCCGCGGUAAUACGGAGGAUCCGAGCGUUAUCCGGAUUUAUUGGGUUUAAAGGGAGCGUAGGUGGAUUGUUAAGUCAGUUGUGAAAGUUUGCGGCUCAACCGUAAAAUUGCAGUUGAAACUGGCAGUCUUGAGUACAGUAGAGGUGGGCGGAAUUCGUGGUGUAGCGGUGAAAUGCUUAGAUAUCACGAAGAACUCCGAUUGCGAAGGCAGUUCACUGGACUGCAACUGACACUGAGGCUCGAAAGUGUGGGUAUCAAACAGGAUGAGAUACCCCUGUAGUC
This 460-nucleotide ribosomal RNA is filed under the name uncultured bacterium. RNAcentral describes it as "partial 16S ribosomal RNA". It matches the Rfam family "Bacterial small subunit ribosomal RNA", at positions 338 to 795 of the family's 1533-position model. The record is from RNAcentral.